This 469-nucleotide ribosomal RNA is filed under the name uncultured bacterium. RNAcentral's name for it is "partial 16S ribosomal RNA". It matches the Rfam family "Bacterial small subunit ribosomal RNA", at positions 28 to 507 of the family's 1533-position model. The record is from RNAcentral.
GACGAACGCUGGCGGCGUGCUUAACACAUGCAAGUCGAACGACAAAGCGCCGGCUUGCUGGUGUGGAUUAGUGGCGAACGGGUGAGUAACACGUGAGUAACCUGCCCCCUACUCUGGGAUAAGCCUGGGAAACUGGGUCUAAUACAGGAUAUGAGCAAUCGCUGCAUGGUGAGUUGGGGGAAAGUUUUUUUGGUGGGGGAUGGACUCGCGGCUUAUCAGCUUGUUGGGGGGGUAAUGGCCUACCAAGGCGACGACGGGUAGCCGGCCUGAGAGGGCGACCGGCCACACUGGGACUGCGACACGGCGCAGACUCCUACGGGAGGCAGCAGUGGGGAAUAUUGCACAAUGGGCGAAAGCCUGAUGCAGCGACGCCGCGUGAGGGAUGACGGCCUUCGGGUUGUAAACCUCUUUCGCCUGGGACGAAGCUAACGUGACGGUACCUGGAGAAGAAGCACCGGCUAACUACGUG